Molecule: ribosomal RNA, 484 nt
Filed under: uncultured bacterium
Lineage: Bacteria
Description: SSU rRNA
Rfam family: Bacterial small subunit ribosomal RNA
Source: RNAcentral
AGAGCGAACGCUGGCGGCGUGCUUAACACAUGCAAGUCGAACGAGGCCUGUAGCAAUACAGAUACUCGUGGCGAACGGGUGCGUAACACGUGGAUAACCUUCCUUCAGGUGGGGAAUAACCCAGUGAAAAUUGGGCUAAUACCGCAUAACAUGACGAUGCCACAUGGUGUUGUCUUCAAAGGCGCAAGUCGCCAGAAGAGGGAUCCGCGGCCGAUUAGCUAGUUGGCGAGGUAAUGGCUCACCAAGGCAAUGAUCGGUAGCCGGACUGAGAGGUUGGCCGGCCACACUGGAACUGAGACACGGUCCAGACACCUACGGGUGGCAGCAGUCGAGAAUUUUUCGCAAUGGACGAAAGUCUGAUGGAGCGACGCCGCGUGGAGGAUGAAGGUUCUUGGAUUGUAAACUCCUGUCACUGCAGAACAGGCUACACAUAUGAAUAGUACGUGUAGUUGAUGGUAUGCGGAGAGGAAGGGACGGCUUAACG